Rhinopithecus roxellana (golden snub-nosed monkey) is the source of this 258-nucleotide long non-coding RNA. RefSeq lists it as uncharacterized. Lineage: Eukaryota; Metazoa; Chordata; Mammalia; Primates; Cercopithecidae. The transcript has 3 exons. The record is from RefSeq and is a predicted model, not a curated record.
UCUGAAUCCAAGCCAAGCUCAGAAACCUGCUCUCCACAGGCCCUCAGAAGAGGAGAAACUAAGGUUGGCUCAGUCAUCACCACUACCACAUCAACGAAAGUGGGGAGCAGUAUAUGCACUGAGGGCAGGAACCAGAUCUAUCGAAUCAGCCAUCUGAAUGAAUACAUGAGGUAAGAGAACUAGAACUGCUGGUCUUUGAAGCAGACAGAAACUACAAGGAAGACAAACUUUUUUCACCUUCCACAGAGGAGAGAGAGC